AGGGAAACCAUUACAAAGCAUCUACUAAACCCUAAUACAGCUUUGGUGUAAUGUGGUUCGAGGCAAGUAUGACAGAUAUAAUAUGAGAAAUGAUAUGGUGUCUAUUAAAGCUACUGAUUUUGCACUUUGGAAAGCUUUGGUAAGGCUUUGGCCAGAAUUUCCAAAGUGGCAAUUUUGGAUAAUUGGAGAUGGUACUAAAGUGGAUGCUUGGAAGGAUGCAAAGAUGGCAAUUUUGCUCAGAUGACAGAUGUGAUUCCUGCAGAAUGGAGGGAUGCAAAGGUUAGUGACUUGGUUGAUAUUAAUGGACAAUGGCGUUUAAAUGAAUUGAGUUGGUUACCUAUAGAUAUCACGAAUUGUAUUCGAGCAGUGGCUCCGCCUGUUCCGGGCUUGAUGGAGGAUCGAUGUGCU
RNAcentral lists this long non-coding RNA (408 nucleotides) under Trifolium pratense (red clover). RNAcentral's name for it is "long non-coding RNA (TPRA_LNC008259)". The record is from RNAcentral. Lineage: Eukaryota; Viridiplantae; Streptophyta; Magnoliopsida; Fabales; Fabaceae.